AGUAUUGGAUUAUGUAAAUGUAAAUAUAAAAUUUGCAUAAUAUGACAUGAUUUUGCAUUUAGCUAUUCUACUUAAAACUUAUUCUCAUAUUGAAUUAUCCAUAUAUUAGUCAAAAUAAUAAUAAAAUAUUAGAAAUUUAAUAAUAUUUUUUUUUUCAAUUUAUUUUUUAUUCUAUUAAUUUUUUUUUCAUAGAUUAAGAUUUCAUCUUCUGAAAACGUUGGAAA
Juglans microcarpa x Juglans regia is the source of this 224-nucleotide long non-coding RNA. RefSeq lists it as uncharacterized. The transcript is spliced from 3 exons. The record is from RefSeq and is a predicted model, not a curated record. NCBI's taxonomy places the organism in Eukaryota, Viridiplantae, Streptophyta, Magnoliopsida, Fagales, Juglandaceae.